This 433-nucleotide ribosomal RNA is filed under the name uncultured bacterium. RNAcentral's name for it is "partial 16S ribosomal RNA". It matches the Rfam family "Bacterial small subunit ribosomal RNA", at positions 29 to 507 of the family's 1533-position model. The record is from RNAcentral.
AACGAACGCUGGCGGCAGGCCUAACACAUGCAAGUCGAGCGAGGACUUCGGUCCUAGCGGCGGACGGGUGAGUAACGCGUGGGAACGUGCCCUUUGCUUCGGAAUAGCCCUGGGAAACUGGGAGUAAUACCGGAUGAGCCCUUUGGGGGAAAGAUUUAUCGGCGAAGGAUCGGCCCGCGUUGGAUUAGGUAGUUGGUGGGGUAAUGGCCUACCAAGCCGACGAUCCAUAGCUGGUUUGAGAGGAUGAUCAGCCACACUGGGACUGAGACACGGCCCAGACUCCUACGGGAGGCAGCAGUGGGGAAUCUUAGACAAUGGGGGAAACCCUGAUCUAGCCAUGCCGCGUGAGCGAUGAAGGCCUUAGGGUUGUAAAGCUCUUUUAGCUGGGAAGAUAAUGACGGUACCAGCAGAAGAAGCCCCGGCUAACUCCGUG